RNAcentral lists this long non-coding RNA (709 nucleotides) under Medicago truncatula (barrel medic). RNAcentral's name for it is "lncRNA gene82". The record is from RNAcentral. Lineage: Eukaryota; Viridiplantae; Streptophyta; Magnoliopsida; Fabales; Fabaceae.
UCUUCUUCUGAGGUUGCAUUUUUUCAGAGCUCUCUAAGCCAAGCCAACAUGCAUGACUCUCAUCCACACUGAAAGUGAAACCAAACCAAGUACCAGGUCAGGGUACGUUUUCUUGCACUCUACAUGUUAUGUACUUACGAAGUUGUAGGAAAUGAGAAAUAAAUUUCAUUCUUCAUUUUUUCCAUUUCUAUUUACAUGUUCCUACUUUGGUACUAUGAAUAUGGUGUUAUCUUGUUUAUCAUAGUACGUGCUUUAGAUUUUAAUUUAUGUUCCCCUUCCAUGUUUUAGUUUUUUAACUUUUUUUUUUUUUUAAAGGGCUUACAUGUUUUUUUAGUUGUUUUUAUAUUACAUUAAUCAAUGUUUUAGUACACGUUACGAUGCAUGUUUUAUUUUUUUCCAAAGAUUUUAUUUUAUUUUAUUAUCGUUUUCUAAUAAUUUUGAGACAUGCUACUCAGCUACUGGUAAACACAGGCAAGCUCAUAUGAUUGAGCAAAAUUGGUUUUUACUUGAUUGUUAAGCAAUGUUUUUUGCUGUGUUUUUAUGCUCUCAGCAAUUUUCCAGCUAACAUUUUGUGAUCCCAAUUUGACAUCCCGAAUCUGAAAAUUGAGAUCUUCCAUGGUUUGUUCGUCUGUUAUAUCGUAGUUAUUGAUAGCACAUCACUUGACACUCUAAGCUGUUCCUACUGAUUUGCAACUCAAAACCAGCAACC